RNAcentral lists this unclassified non-coding RNA (250 nucleotides) under plant metagenome. Its description in RNAcentral is "partial contains small subunit ribosomal RNA, internal transcribed spacer 1, and 5.8S ribosomal RNA". The record is from RNAcentral.
GUAGGUGAACCUGCGGAAGGAUCAUUAAUGAAACUUCAAAGUCGGCUUGUUCAUCUGUGCUGGUGGGAGACCACAUGUGCACGUUGGGCGAGUCGCAAAUCCACACACCUGUGAAUCUAUGACUCCGAGUUGCCACUUUGCAUGGCUUUACGGCCUGGUACUCGAGUACUUUACACACUCUGAAAUGGAAUGGAAUGUCUAUUGUGCACAAUGUACAACUAAAACAACUUUCAACAACGGAUCUCUUGGC